This is a long non-coding RNA of Rhineura floridana, 610 nucleotides long. RefSeq lists it as uncharacterized. NCBI's taxonomy places the organism in Eukaryota, Metazoa, Chordata, Lepidosauria, Squamata, Rhineuridae. The record is from RefSeq and is a predicted model, not a curated record. The transcript has 2 exons.
UUGUGUGUGUGUGUGUUGUGUGUGUUAAAAAUAACAGGAUACUUGGGGCAGUGAAAUACGGUAUAAAUAUCGUGCUGAAUGUAGCUCCACUGUGGUGUUUUUUCCUCUCUCUUCCAUUUUAAUUUUCUCGGAGGAGUCUACAUUAGUAAAAUAAAACCAAUCUAACGAUGGCUUGCAUGGGUUAAGUAGACUGCUGAAGUUUAAUAAUCUCACACAGUGAAUGUUAUGCAAAGAAGAGGAAGAAAAGGAGUUUUGACAAGAAAACAGGUAGUUGGAAUUCCUCCUGGCUUCAACUCAGGAUAAUGACUCUCAAAUUAUAAAUCUACUUGGUAUGAAGCUGAACAAAAUCAAUGUGGAACAUUCCAGAAACUCUGAAUCUGAUAGAGCACCAGGCUGUUCAGUGGUCUGGACAGAAAGAAUUUAUUCUUAUUAUUAUGAGUUGCAGCGGUGGCCCUCAAAGCUUUUGACUUCAGAGAGGACUGGAUUAAGGUCGUAGGGCUGUACUUACAGCAGCUCACCAUAAACCUGGCUCUGAAUAAUGCUCUGCCUUCUUCACUAAUGCAUUCUCUAAAAUAAAAUGAACAUAAAAAAAAUAAAUUAAUGCUUGAAA